This 257-nucleotide ribosomal RNA is filed under the name uncultured bacterium. RNAcentral's name for it is "partial 16S ribosomal RNA". It matches the Rfam family "Bacterial small subunit ribosomal RNA", at positions 524 to 779 of the family's 1533-position model. The record is from RNAcentral.
GACGAAGGGGGCUAGCGUUGUUCGGAAUUACUGGGCGUAAAGCGCGUGUAGGCGGUUGUUCAAGUCAGGUGUGAAAGCCUUGAGCUCAACUCAAGAAAUGCACUUGAUACUGGAUGACUAGAGGACCGGAGAGGAUAGUGGAAUUCCCAGUGUAGUGGUGAAAAUACGUAGAGAUUGGGAAGAACACCAGUGGCGAAGGCGGCUAUCUGGACGGUUUCUGACGCUAAGACGCGAAAGCGUGGGGAGCAAGCAGGAGU